CUAAGACGAUUCAGAUAGAAGGGAAGACAAUCAAGGCACAAAUAUGGGACACAGCUGGUCAAGAGAGGUAUCGAGCCAUUACCAGCGCCUAUUACCGUGGCGCAGUGGGGGCACUUCUUGUCUAUGACAUAACAAAGAGAAAAACAUUUGAUAAUGUACAGAGGUGGCUUCGUGAACUCAGAGACCAUGCAGAUUCAAACAUUGUCAUCACGAUGAUUGGAAACAAGGCUGACUUGAAUCAUCUUAGAUCAGUACCAGACACCGAUGCUCAGGUUUUAGCAGAGAGGGAG
RNAcentral lists this unclassified non-coding RNA (290 nucleotides) under Hevea brasiliensis (rubber tree). Lineage: Eukaryota; Viridiplantae; Streptophyta; Magnoliopsida; Malpighiales; Euphorbiaceae. The record is from RNAcentral.